CCUACGGGAGGCAGCAGUGGGGAAUAUUGCACAAUGGGGGAAACCCUGAUGCAGCAACGCCGCGUGAAGGAAGACGGUUUUCGGAUUGUAAACUUCUGUUCUUAGGGAAGAAUAAUGACGGUAGCUAAGGAGCAAGCCACGGCUAACUACGUGCCAGCAGCCGCGGUAAUACGUAGGUGGCAAGCGUUGGUCGGAAUUACUGGGUGUAACGGGAGCGCAGGCGGGAAGCCAAGUCAGCUGUGAAAACUACGGGCUUAACUUGUCGACGGCCGUUGAAACUGGUUGUCUUGAGUGAAGUAGAGGUAGGCGGAAUUCGGAGUGUAGCGGUGAAAUGCGUAGAUAUUCGGAAGAACACCGGUGGCGAAGGCGGCCAACUGGGCUUUAACUGACGCUGAGGCUCGAAAGUGUGGGGAGCGAACAGGAUUAGAUACCCGAGUAGUC
Molecule: ribosomal RNA, 441 nt
Filed under: uncultured bacterium
Lineage: Bacteria
Description: partial 16S ribosomal RNA
Rfam family: Bacterial small subunit ribosomal RNA
Source: RNAcentral